RNAcentral lists this ribosomal RNA (574 nucleotides) under uncultured bacterium. RNAcentral's name for it is "partial 16S ribosomal RNA". It matches the Rfam family "Bacterial small subunit ribosomal RNA", at positions 355 to 920 of the family's 1533-position model. The record is from RNAcentral.
UGGGGAAUAUUGCACAAUGGGCGCAAGCCUGAUGCAGCCAUGCCGCGUGUGUGAAGAAGGCCUUCGGGUUGUAAAGCACUUUCAGCGAGGAGGAAGGUGGUGAGCUUAAUACGCUCAUCAAUUGACGUUACUCGCAGAAGAAGCACCGGCUAACUCCGUGCCAGCAGCCGCGGUAAUACGGAGGGUGCAAGCGUUAAUCGGAAUUACUGGGCGUAAAGCGCACGCAGGCGGUUUGUUAAGUCAGAUGUGAAAUCCCCGGGCUCAACCUGGGAACUGCAUUUGAAACUGGCAAGCUAGAGUCUCGUAGAGGGGGGUAGAAUUCCAGGUGUAGCGGUGAAAUGCGUAGAGAUCUGGAGGAAUACCGGUGGCGAAGGCGGCCCCCUGGACGAAGACUGACGCUCAGGUGCGAAAGCGCGGGGAGCAAACAGGAUUAGAUACCCUGGUAGUCCACGCUGUAAACGAUGUCGAUUUUGGAGGUUGUGCCCUUGAGGCGUGGCUUCCGGAGCUAACGCGUUAAAUCGACCGCCUGGGGAGUACGGCCGCAAGGUUAAAACUUAAAUGAAUUGACGGGGUC